This 905-nucleotide ribosomal RNA is filed under the name Sanguinoderma rugosum. RNAcentral describes it as "partial 28S ribosomal RNA". It matches the Rfam family "Eukaryotic large subunit ribosomal RNA", at positions 56 to 948 of the family's 3401-position model. The record is from RNAcentral. Lineage: Eukaryota; Fungi; Basidiomycota; Agaricomycetes; Polyporales; Polyporaceae.
GAAAAGAAACUAACAAGGAUUCCCCUAGUAACUGCGAGUGAAGCGGGAAAAGCUCAAAUUUAAAAUCUGGCGGUCUUUGGCCGUCCGAGUUGUAGUCUGGAGAAGUGCUUUCCGCGCUGGACCGUGUAUAAGUCUCUUGGAACAGAGCGUCAUAGAGGGUGAGAAUCCCGUCUUUGACACGGACUACCAGUGCUUUGUGAUGCGCUCUCAAAGAGUCGAGUUGUUUGGGAAUGCAGCUCAAAAUGGGUGGUGAAUUCCAUCUAAAGCUAAAUAUUGGCGAGAGACCGAUAGCGAACAAGUACCGUGAGGGAAAGAUGAAAAGCACUUUGGAAAGAGAGUUAAACAGUACGUGAAAUUGCUGAAAGGGAAACGCUUGAAGUCAGUCGCGUUGUCUGGGACUCAGCCUUGCUUUUGCUUGGUGCACUUUCCGGAUGACGGGCCAGCAUCGAUUUUGACCGUCGGAAAAGGGCUAGGGUAAUGUGGCACCUCCGGGUGUGUUAUAGACUUUAGUCGCAUACGGCGGUCGGGAUCGAGGAACGCAGCGCGCCGUAAGGCAGGGGUUCGCCCACUUUCGCGCUUAGGAUGCUGGCGUAAUGGCUUUAAACGACCCGUCUUGAAACACGGACCAAGGAGUCUAACAUACCUGCGAGUGUUUGGGUGGAAAACCCGAGCGCGUAAUGAAAGUGAAAGUUGAGACCUCUGUCGUGGAGGGCAUCGACGCCCGGACCUGACGUUCUCUGACGGAUCCGCGGUAGAGCAUGUAUGUUGGGACCCGAAAGAUGGUGAACUAUGCCUGAAUAGGGUGAAGCCAGAGGAAACUCUGGUGGAGGCUCGUAGCGAUUCUGACGUGCAAAUCGAUCGUCAAAUUUGGGUAUAGGGGCGAAAGACUAAUCGAACCAUCUAGU